RNAcentral lists this ribosomal RNA (429 nucleotides) under Chloroflexota bacterium. RNAcentral's name for it is "Chloroflexi bacterium partial 16S ribosomal RNA". It matches the Rfam family "Bacterial small subunit ribosomal RNA", at positions 355 to 776 of the family's 1533-position model. The record is from RNAcentral. Lineage: Bacteria; Bacillati; Chloroflexota.
UGGGGAAUAUUGCACAAUGGGCGCAAGCCUGAUGCAGCCAUGCCGCGUGUAUGAAGAAGGCCUUCGGGUUGUAAAGUACUUUCAGCGGAGAGGAAGGGAGUAAAGUUAAUACCUUUGCUCAUUGACGUUACCCGCAGAAGAAGCACCGGCUAACUCCGUGCCAGCAGCCGCGGUAAUACGGAGGGUGCAAGCGUUAAUCGGAAUUACUGGGCGUAAAGCGCACGCAGGCGGUUUGUUAAGUCAGAUGUGAAAUCCCCGGGCUCAACCUGGGAACUGCAUCUGAUACUGGCAAGCUUGAGUCUCGUAGAGGGGGGUAGAAUUCCAGGUGUAGCGGUGAAAUGCGUAGAGAUCUGGAGGAAUACCGGUGGCGAAGGCGGCCCCCUGGACGAAGACUGACGCUCAGGUGCGAAAGCGUGGGGAGCAAACAGG